Triticum aestivum (bread wheat) is the source of this 2573-nucleotide long non-coding RNA. RefSeq lists it as uncharacterized. Lineage: Eukaryota; Viridiplantae; Streptophyta; Magnoliopsida; Poales; Poaceae. The transcript has 9 exons. The record is from RefSeq and is a predicted model, not a curated record.
AGGCGGGGCCCGUGGAGGAGGACAGCCGCCGCCUCUUCCCUGCCUCCCCAUCUCGCCCGAAACAUCGCUCCUGGAGCCCUUCCCAGUCCACGGUGGAGCCCCCAUCCCAGCUCCGCAUCCGAGAUCCGCGACAAGGGAGGGGUGGAUCGAUGAUGCUGCAGCAAAGAGGAACGAGGUUGGGCAGUGGUGAGGCAUCGGCACCAGAGAUGCAGAUCUGCGGCGGAGCGGGAUCGGUGACGAGGAUGACCUGUGACUCCUCAUGGCAAAGCUUGAUGGAUUUAUGCCUUUCAGAGGGGGGCAUGGCGCCUCAGCUCCGCCACCGAUGACAACCUCGGCGGCAGCAGCACGCGCAGUGCCGACAUGGUCAAGGUGCGGCAGUAUGGGAAGACGUGCAAGGAGCUCACCGGCAUGUUCAUGACACAGGAGUUGGCCAUGCACUCUGGCUCUGUAUGGUGCAUUAACUUCAGCUUGGCUGGACGGUACCUUGCGAGCACCGGCGAGGACCGUGUGAUCCAUGUCUGGGAGGUCUCCGAGGGUGAGAGAAAGGGGGAGCUGCUCGGGGAAGGUGCGGUUUCAGAGGAGAGUGGUAGCGGAGGCAGCCUGUUUGUGGCAGUUGCUGGAAAUGGAUCGCGGUGGUGGCAAUGUCGCCGCUCAGCAGUGCAAACAAGGGAUAUGUGGAGAAGAAGAGGAGGCCACGGGUGCAGAGCAGCCGCAAGUCUGUCGGUUCUGAUCAUCUGGUUGUGCCCGAAUGCGUGUUUGGGUUCAGAGAUAAGCCAUUUUGCUCGCCCCUGGGGCACACCGCUGAUGUUCUUGAUCUACAAGAUGCUAAUCGCUUCAGCUUUGGGUUAACUUGUUGGCUGGCUCCUGAAACUGAGCACAUGUUGGUAUUUCAUUGUUGUACUGGUGUAUGCAAGGGUUAUUUUCGUGCAGAGGUUUUGAACUGUGAUUUCCUUCUCUUUCAAGCCUAAAGCAUUCAACUGAUAAUUUCAGGCAGGCAUUUCAAUUUUCUAUCAUGCUUCUAGAUAUCAAACGUGGUUGAGAAAGUUCCAUUUUUAAGGGGCUGGAGCUCCAUGGCUUACAGAUCUAACGACCCCUGAUGCUCUUUGCAUAUUUCCAAUGAUAACAUCACUGUUCGCCAUGCUUCCCUUUGAGGUAUGUGUUCAAUUCUUUUUACCUAAAUGUAUGUUUGUUCUUGGGCUACAAAAUUUGAGAUGCCAUUUAUUGCAUCCUUCAACUAUUUUUCCUGCUGAACCUGCCGGCUCGACCCAGGAGCGGCAGGUGCAGAUGCGUGUGCGAGGAGCGCCGUCGGUCGACCGGCGUUCUUUCUUCGUCAGGAAGGGUGCAGCCUGCUACUCAAGCCCCUCUCCUUCGCUCCUUGAAUAGCAGGAGAGGCAUGGGCACCACCACACUGGAGAGAUGGACGAGGACAUGAAGCUUUCGUGGAGAGGACGAGGUGGCCGCCGCUGCACCCCCAUGCCGCGGACGCCGAGAUUCCCAUCCUCUCUGCCCUUGAUAACCACUUCGGCGGCGCCAUGAACGGCACAAUCGCCUCUUCUCGGCAGGCGCAGACCGCAUGGUCGUCUUCCUCUCCGGCUUCUUCUACACCAUCAGACUCAGACCCUCUCCCGCUCCCUCUCCCUCUGCAUCUCUGUAAAAAUAUGCUUAGGUCAACUAGGAGAUGAUGCAAGCCAAGGCGCUCACACCGAUUUAAGAUGGUGUGGGUGAUCAAUAGAAGACAAAUGAAUACACUGAUGGAAGGCCAUGUCAAAAUGACAGCUGUUAAACAAAGGUAGACACAGCCAGUGAUACCAGCGGUGGCCAAUUACCCAUGACGAACCACUGCGUCAGAAGCACAAUAAGCCAUACGAGUAUAUUCAUCGCCCACGCAAAGCAAACUCAAUCCAAAAGUUCAAAGGCAAGAAAAUCCAUGUAAAGCCUAGAAAGUACAUUCUCCGUGGUGAGCCUUGCAUCCACUACUUAGAUGAGUUUACUCACCACAUUGUGUGGGGCAACCCAGUUAAGCUCUACAACCAUAAUUACUUUAGCGUUCCCCUUUCUAUGGGUUCCCUUUUCCCACACAUGGAUGCUGACCAUGGUGAACUGCCAAUCACUAUUGGAGACGGAACUACGCUGUCACGACCCCCUUUAUCAAGGGUGUUGACAAAAGGGCCACCAUCACUAAAGGCUGGAGUGACUUCUUCCGUCAGGCACACAUGAACGAAGGGCAAGUAUAUGCUUUCGCCUUCAAAUGCACUUCCAAGGGACUCUGCCGGAUCAUCUACUCAAUAUAAGCAAGUUGCAAGAGCCCCUUGUUAUAUAACUUAGUAUUCUUAGUAUUAGUACAGAUGCCUAUCAAGACUUCCGUGUUUAUCAUCUUUUUAGAUCUUAUGUAAUCCCCUAAGACCAUCCUGUGCAUUUAGCUAUCGGUUAUUUGCCGCUUAGACUGCUAUGUGGUAUGCUUUUGAAACAACCUUGAUGGAAGAAAUAUAUGCUUUCACCUUUAAGUGCACAUCCAAAGGCCUUUGCAUGAUUGUCUAUCCAAUCUAAACAGAUCAAAAAAGUCCUUUCCUACA